GAUGGACGCUGGCGGCGUGCCUAAUACAUGCAAGUCGAGCGAACGGACGAGAAGCUUGCUUCUCUGAUGUUAGCGGCGGACGGGUGAGUAACACGUGGAUAACCUACCUAUAAGACUGGGAUAACUUCGGGAAACCGGAGCUAAUACCGGAUAAUAUUUUGAACCGCAUGGUUCAAAAGUGAAAGACGGUCUUGCUGUCACUUAUAGAUGGAUCCGCGCUGCAUUAGCUAGUUGGUAAGGUAACGGCUUACCAAGGCAACGAUGCAUAGCCGACCUGAGAGGGUGAUCGGCCACACUAGAACUAGGACACGGUCCAGACGCCUAAGGGAGGCAGCAGUAGGGAAUCUUCCGCAAUGGGCGAAAGCCUGACGGAGCAACGCCGCGUGAGUGAUGAAGGUCUUCGGAUCGUAAAACUCUGUUAUUAGGGAAGAACAUAUGUGUAAGUAACUGUGCACAUCUUGACGGUACCUAAUCAGAAAGCCACGGCUAACUACGUG
Molecule: ribosomal RNA, 497 nt
Filed under: uncultured bacterium
Lineage: Bacteria
Description: partial 16S ribosomal RNA
Rfam family: Bacterial small subunit ribosomal RNA
Source: RNAcentral